AUGCAAAGAACUUUGAAAAGAGAGUUAAAGAGUACCUGAAAUUGCUGAAAGGGAAGCGAAGGAAACCAGUGCUUGGCUUGGUCAUAUUUCUCGAAUCGCUUGCGGUUUGGGCGCUGUGUCGUUGCCUUUGUCAUUUUUGCUUGUUCUCGGCGGAAACGUGUGUUCGGGAGGUAGCGCUUGCGUGAUACCGUUCACAUUAUUGCUGGGUUUGAGUGAGGCUGACGAAAUGGUUUUCUUUACCCCGUCUAGAAACACGGACCAAGGAGUCUAACAUAUGUGCGAGUACAGGGGUGGCAAACCCCCGUGCGCAAUGAAAGUGACAGUGGUUGGACCUUUUGGGCACAAUCCGCCGGCCUCAAUCCUUCGGGAGAACGGUCUGAGUGUGAGCAUACAUGUUGGGACCCGAAAGAUGGUGAACUAUGCCUGAAUAGGGUGAAGCCAGGGGAAACUCUGGUGGAGGCUCGUAGCGAUUCUGACGUGCAAAUCGAUCGUCAAAUUUGGGUAUAGGGGCGAAAGACUAAUCGAACCAUCUAGUAGCUGGUUCCCUCCGAAAUUUCCCUCAGGAUAGCUGCGAUCGAAUGUCAAUUUUAUCA
RNAcentral lists this ribosomal RNA (593 nucleotides) under Asterionellopsis glacialis. Its description in RNAcentral is "eukaryotic LSU rRNA". It matches the Rfam family "Eukaryotic large subunit ribosomal RNA", at positions 364 to 1006 of the family's 3401-position model. The record is from RNAcentral. Lineage: Eukaryota; Bacillariophyta; Plagiogrammaphyceae; Rhaphoneidales; Asterionellopsidaceae.